RNAcentral lists this ribosomal RNA (587 nucleotides) under uncultured bacterium. RNAcentral's name for it is "bacterial SSU rRNA". It matches the Rfam family "Bacterial small subunit ribosomal RNA", at positions 102 to 668 of the family's 1533-position model. The record is from RNAcentral.
ACGGGUGAGUAACACGUGGGUGACCUGCCUUCGAGCGGGGGAUAACGUCCCGAAAGGGACGCUAAUACCGCAUGACAUCCCAUCUUUUAACAGGUGGAGAUCAAAGCCGGGGAUCGCAAGACCUGGCACUCGAAGAGGGGCCCGCGUCCGAUUAGCUAGUUGGUGAGGUAACGGCUCACCAAGGCAACGAUCGGUAGCCGGCCUGAGAGGGCGGACGGCCACACUGGGACUGAGACACGGCCCAGACUCCUACGGGAGGCAGCAGUGGGGAAUUGUUCGCAAUGGGCGCAAGCCUGACGACGCAACGCCGCGUGGAGGAUGAAGAUCUUCGGGUCGUAAACUCCUUUCGAUCGAGACGAACGGCUUCCGGGUGAACAAUCCGGGAGAGUGACGGUACCGAGAGAAGAAGCCCCGGCUAACUCCGUGCCAGCAGCCGCGGUAAUACGGGGGGGGCAAGCGUUGUUCGGAAUUACUGGGCGUAAAGGGCUCGUAGGUGGCCAACUAAGUCAGACGUGAAAUCCCUCGGCUUAACCGGGGAACUGCGUCUGAUACUGGAUGGCUUGAGUUUGGGAGAGGGAUGCGGAAUU